RNAcentral lists this unclassified non-coding RNA (364 nucleotides) under uncultured bacterium. Its description in RNAcentral is "contains 16S-23S intergenic spacer region". The record is from RNAcentral.
UCCCGGUUGGCCCGGGCAGUUUGGCAUGAAAUAUCCAACAUACCAUAAGGGUUGCGCUCGUUGCGGGACUUAACCCAACAUCUCACGACACGAGCUGACGACGGCCAUGCAGCACCUGUCACCAGGUUCCAAAAGGCACAUCCAUCUUUCGACGGACUUCCUGGGAUGUCAAAUCUCGGUAAGGUUCUACGCGUAGCUUCAUAUUAAACCACAUCAUCCUCUGCUUGUGCGGGUCCCCGUCAAUUCCUUUGAGUUUUAAGCUUGCGCUCGUACUCCCCAGGCGGUGUGCUUAACGCGUUAGCUGUUCAGCCCAAGGGGUCGAUACCUCGAACUAAUAGCACACAUCGUUUACGGCGUGGACUAC